AGCGAACGCUGGCGGCAGGCCUAACACAUGCAAGUCGAACGAACUCUUCGGAGUUAGUGGCGGACGGGUGAGUAACACGUGGGAACGUGCCUUUUGGUUCGGAAUAACUCAGGGAAACUUGUGCUAAUACCGAAUGUGCCCUUCGGGGGAAAGAUUUAUCGCCAUUAGAGCGGCCCGCGUCUGAUUAGCUAGUUGGUGAGGUAACGGCUCACCAAGGCGACGAUCAGUAGCUGGUCUGAGAGGAUGACCAGCCACACUGGGACUGAGACACGGCCCAGACUCCUACGGGAGGCAGCAGUGGGGAAUCUUGCGCAAUGGGCGAAAGCCUGACGCAGCCAUGCCGCGGGAAUGAUGAAGGUCUUAGGAUUGUAAAAUUCUUUCACCGGGGACGAUAAUGACGGUACCCGGAGAAGAAGCCCCGGCUAACUUCGU
This 432-nucleotide ribosomal RNA is filed under the name uncultured bacterium. RNAcentral's name for it is "partial 16S ribosomal RNA". It matches the Rfam family "Bacterial small subunit ribosomal RNA", at positions 29 to 506 of the family's 1533-position model. The record is from RNAcentral.